CAACUUUUCCUAGUUUCGUAAAACUAGGUGGUGCGGAUGGGAUAACUCCCGCCGAGUUUCUUGUUUUCUCGUACUCAAAACAAGUGGCGAGCCUGAGU
This 98-nucleotide non-coding RNA is filed under the name unclassified sequences. RNAcentral's name for it is "wcaG RNA". It matches the Rfam family "wcaG RNA". The record is from RNAcentral.